UACGAAGGGGGCUAGCGUUGCUCGGAAUCACUGGGCGUAAAGCGCACGUAGGCGGAUUGCUAAGUCAGGGGUGAAAUCCUGGAGCUCAACUCCAGAACUGCCCUUGAUACUGGCGGUCUCGAGUCCGGGAGAGGUGAGUGGAACUGCGAGUGUAGAGGUGAAAUUCGUAGAUAUUCGCAAGAACACCAGUGGCGAAGGCGGCGACCUGGUCCGUGACUGACGCUGAGGCGCGAAAGCGUGGGGAGCAAACAGG
RNAcentral lists this ribosomal RNA (253 nucleotides) under uncultured bacterium. Its description in RNAcentral is "partial 16S ribosomal RNA". It matches the Rfam family "Bacterial small subunit ribosomal RNA", at positions 524 to 776 of the family's 1533-position model. The record is from RNAcentral.